UUGGGGGCUCAGUGCGCAGGUGCACGCGCAGUCUUGGUCUAUAUAAGGAAGGUUCUUCGCCUUUCUCGCCCUUUCGUUCCUGAGGCUCUUUGUGUGCUCCGAUAUGUCUCGUCCUUUCGGGAUUAAUUUGCAGAUGGUUGGCCGGAUCAAGCAGUACAGGAUGGAGGUUGGCUGGAGAGAAGGGCAUCCAGGGAGAUGAACUAACCACCUUUUAAGUCUCAAGGUUUACUGACAGCCAAUACGAGGCUAUGAAUGGAGGGCGAACUCAGGAGGAGGAGAGCAUUGGCACACGGGAGCCAUGGAGGCCAGUGUUGGUCCGAUCGUGAUUUCAGGCACUUCUGGAAUACAGAAUACCAGCCCUGUUCCAGCUGCCUGCCCAGCCCAUGGGGCUGGGAGUGGCCCACAGGCUAUGCAGAAUGCAAAGAAGACUUAUUUUUUGGUUGGGGAGUAGUGGUAUGGUGUACACUGAACUGCUACUGGAAAUAGAAAAUACUGGCCUUCUAUCUGUAGGAAUAAAAUAUAACCAGUGAUGUUUUCAUUA
This is a long non-coding RNA of Grammomys surdaster, 541 nucleotides long. RefSeq lists it as uncharacterized. NCBI's taxonomy places the organism in Eukaryota, Metazoa, Chordata, Mammalia, Rodentia, Muridae. The transcript has 5 exons. The record is from RefSeq and is a predicted model, not a curated record.